Long non-coding RNA from Orbicella faveolata, 198 nucleotides. NCBI's taxonomy places the organism in Eukaryota, Metazoa, Cnidaria, Anthozoa, Scleractinia, Merulinidae. The record is from RefSeq and is a predicted model, not a curated record.
ACCUCUUCUUGUGGUCUUGUUUAGAUGGUUACCAGGUGAAAAAGAGCAAGUAGCUAUUUGAAGAAAAUCUGAACUCUCACUCAUGGCGAACAAUGAUGACGAUGGGUUUGAUUUGAUUCAGCCAUCACUCAUCCAACAGUUGAGGUCCAUCCUAGAUCAGUAUCCUGAUGAUGGACAGAUACUGAAGGAACUGAUUCA